CAUCAACAUUCCCCUCUUUGCCUCUUCUGCUUCUUCAAUUUCAAAGAUUAUUUGCUGACUCAAACUCUCUUUUUUUUUCUCUAAAAAAAUUUCCUUCAGUUCCCCUCUCCCUUUUUCCAUCGAACUUAUCGCAUCGAAUUUACUUAGUACGAUUUACGUCACGUAAAUAAUGGAAAACAAUCACCAGACACAAAUUCAGACCACUAAAACAUCAAGAUUCAAACGCAUAUGUGUUUUUUGUGGAAGCAGUCCAGGCAAAAAGCCAAGUUAUCAACUUGCUGCUAUUCAACUUGGCAAUCAACUGGUUGAAAGGAACAUCGACUUGGUUUAUGGAGGUGGCAGUGUGGGCUUGAUGGGCCUAGUUUCUCAAUCAGUUUUUAAUGGUGGCCGCCACGUGUUAGGGUAUCUAUUUUUUUAAAAAAAAUUGACAAUUUGUUUUAAAAAUAAAAUAAAAUAAAAUCUUCUCCAUUAAUGUAAAACUCAUUUUUUAAUUUCUUUUUCCCACUUGACAGGGUGAUUCCUAAAACUCUUAUGCCAAGAGAGGUAAUUUUUUUUUUUACCUUUAAUAAUAACAACAAACAUUUUUCUAUAGAUAAUUAUGUUAACAAAUUAAUUGUGACUAGUAUGUAUAUUUGGAUAUAUUAAUAAUGCAUCUAGGUAUAAUUACUUGUACUUAAUUUUUAUCGCAGUCAACUAUAUACUAGUCAAUCUAAUUAGACUGUGAUAAUAUAUGAUAACUUAUAAGUCAAAGUAAGUAAAGUCGUUAAAAUAGACUGAUCUAGUUCAUCUCGGCACUCAAUUUGUAAGCUGGAUAAGCCUAUUUUAACGGCUCUAAAUACUAGAUUCUUUCAAAAUACGAUUCGAUUUUAUUUUUUUAACUCUGUUUUUUAUGAUAUAUAUUUUGUUAAUAUAUAGAUUACUGGAGAAAGUGUUGGAGAAGUAAGAGCAGUGUCUGGGAUGCAUCAAAGAAAAGCAGAAAUGGCAAGACAAGCUGAUGCAUUCAUAGCCUUACCAGGUGGCUAUGGGACAUUGGAAGAGCUCCUAGAAGUCAUCACUUGGGCUCAACUAGGCAUUCAUGAUAAACCAGUACGAUUACUUGUCUUUUACUCAUUUGUUUUUAUUUUAUUUAAUGACAAAUUAGGUUUAAUCACUAAUGACUAAUGAUAUACCCACUAUUUUGCUUUUGUCUUAUUAAUAAGCGCGUAUUAAUUAGUAAAUUACUGUGUCUGAUUGCGAACUUUAAAAGACAGAUAAUAUAGAUUUGAUUCAGAGAAAUUUCGUUUUAAUUAAAGUAGGACCAUAAGAAUUGUUUCUCUAAUGUCAACAAUUAAUAAUUAAUGUAAUUUAAGAUAACUAAUUUAACGUGUGUUUUACGUAAUAUGCAGGUAGGUUUACUUAAUGUAGAUGGCUACUAUAAUUCAUUAUUAUCAUUUAUAGACAAAGCUGUUGAUGAAGGCUUUGUCACACCCUCUGCCCGUCACAUCAUUAUUUCUGCCCCAACUGCCCAAGAACUCAUGUCUAAGCUUGAGGUACAACUCAUCAUUCAUCGGCACGAUAUUACGCAUUUACUGACUUAAAAUCUUGAACUCGUGAAUUCAUAUCAUGCAUCCACCGACUUAAACUCUGGUAAAAAUAUUGAAUUAGCGCAUUCUUAGUAUUUUGAGCUUACAAUUCAUGAUUCAUCAAUGUUCGUAUGAUGAUACUGUGCAUCUUACUACUUAAAAUUUUGAAAUUAACAUCUCGAAUUUACUAUUCAUGAUUCAUUGCAUACAUAUGGUGGUUCAUUGAUUUGAAAUCUUGAAUUAUUGCGCUCGUAUGACGUUACUAUUCAUUUACUGACUUAAAAUCUUGAAUUAGCAUCUGUUAAUAUCUCGAAUUUACAUGUUUGAAUGAUUUUUAUUUAUAGGAUUAUGUACCAAAGCAUAAUGGGGUGGCACCAAAAUUGAGUUGGGAAAUGGAACAACAACUUGGCUACACAACAACAAAAUUGGAAAUUGCUCGUUAAAUAUUCAAAUGAUGGGUAGAUUUAAUAUAUUUAUAGAGAAAAAAUGUAGUAAAUUUCUUUGAAGACUUAAAUUCAACAAUUAUGACUUAAGAUGUUGAAGGGAAAAAGCUUCGGAGAAUUAAUUAAUAUAUAAUUAGUAGCUUUGCAGCACUUUUUACUUGCUGUUUAUAAUUAGUUUUAAGGGGGAAAAAAUAUAGUACGUAAUUAAUUUGUUUAGUGUUGAUUCAUUUUUGUCCAUUAGGCUAAUCAAAUGCCUAAUUAAAACAUGAAAAAAAUGAUGUAGUACAAGUUAUUGUUUUUUUUUUCUGUUUGUAUAUGUUUGUUUGUUAAGUACAUUAUUAUUCUACAGUUAAUUGUGUUUACUCUAAUGUAAAACGUGUAAGCUUAUUUUAUGAAAUGAAUAUUAAUAUAUUUUGGAACAAAUUCUUGUUACUUUCAUUUGGUAGGAAGGCGUUCGAUUAUUAAAUUUUCUUCAUUGAAAAACUACACGAGCAAUAAAGAAAAAAGUUUGUUUUUUUGGUUGAAUUGUCUUGACAUAUGUAAAGCUUUAGUAUAGCGUGGAUGGAUUAAAAAAUGAUUUAGAUCAGAAGUUUAAAUUUCAAGUUGGGAUAUUCUAAAAUGUUAUAUGAAUCUUUUUAUUAUAAUAUCAUAUGUUAUCGUUAUACUUGAGUACGAUUAUAUUUUUCUUUUAUUAAAUAUGAGAUUCUGAGAGAGACACAUACCACAUGAUUUAUGAGGAAAAAGUAAUGUUACAUCAAGGUCCAAAAACUUAGGCAAGGACCAUAUAUGAUUGUAGGUAAGAAUAUUUUUAUUUACAUAAUACAUAAAAGAACAAGUUAAUUUUGGACUUUCUUUUUUUAUAAGAAAAAUACUAGAAGAGGGAUUUUCAAAGUCCACUAUGAAAAGUAGAAAUCAAAGUGUAAAAAAAUUAUUGGAAAGUUGAGGAUAGUGGGGCUAAGUCUAUAAAUAGUUUCUCCCAAAGUUGUUCUCUUG
RNAcentral lists this long non-coding RNA (2998 nucleotides) under Solanum lycopersicum (tomato). Its description in RNAcentral is "partial TCONS_00073379". The record is from RNAcentral. Lineage: Eukaryota; Viridiplantae; Streptophyta; Magnoliopsida; Solanales; Solanaceae.